GCUGGCUUGGCUGCAGGUUUUGCAGCAGCGGUUCUAGCCGCUGGCUUGGCUGCAGGUUUUGCAGCAGCGGUUCUAGCCGCUGGCUUGGC
Molecule: transfer RNA, 89 nt
Filed under: Pseudomonas mucidolens
Lineage: Bacteria; Pseudomonadati; Pseudomonadota; Gammaproteobacteria; Pseudomonadales; Pseudomonadaceae
Description: tRNA-???(ct)
Source: RNAcentral